This 766-nucleotide long non-coding RNA is filed under the name Chinchilla lanigera (long-tailed chinchilla). Its description in RNAcentral is "lncRNA (ENSCLAG00000024017.1)". The record is from RNAcentral. Lineage: Eukaryota; Metazoa; Chordata; Mammalia; Rodentia; Chinchillidae.
GACAAGGAGCCGAGGGGCAUCAUCCCACUGGAGAACCUCAGCAUCAGAGAGGAGGAGGGCCCAUGGAAAGCCAACUGCUUUGAGCUUUACAAUCCCAGCCACAAAGAGCAGGUCAUCAAAGCCUGCAAGACAGAGGCUGACGGCCCGUGUAUUGCUUCUCUGCACAGAGCCGUGAAGAGAAGGAUGAGUGGGUGAAAUCCAUCAACAAGCAUCAGCAGGGAUCCUUCCUAUGACAUGUUGGCAACGAGGAAAAGGAGGAUUGCCAAUAAGAAAUAGAGCUGCCCUGGCCCUGCAGAGGUCAGUGUCAGAGUACACUACCAGAACACGUGGAUCCAGCCGAUACCUGCAGAAGCAGCGGCCAGAAAUUAGCAACCCAAACACCAGCACCACCUCAGACAGGACCUGGCACUGUCGUGACCACUUACUGAGGACGCUCAAUGUACAGGCACAGGCUCGUCCAGGUCUCUCGGCAGGCUCCUGUGGGCUUUCUUCUCCAGGUGACUGUCCCUACUUUCUGUGCUCUCGUACCUGCGUUUGCAUGACUUUACGCUUUCGUGUUCAUGAAGCCGAUCCGAGAGGCCACCAUUGUGGUCAGCUCCGAAGGCCACCUUCUCCUGGGGAUAGUGCUUUUGGUGCAGAGGGAAAGGAGCUGCAGCUCCUGUGUGUGGGCUGUGGAGGUGGGUCUGCUCCCUCACUGGGAUCUGCUCCCAGCCCUUCCUGGCCCGGGAGGAGUCCUUGUGUGGCCGCGUCAUACUGGGCUCCCUGA